UCAUCGAAGAAAAGUAUGUUUUUCUUUUUAGGAAGCUAAAUCCAACCUAACCUCAAAUCAGAUGCAGUUGCUCUAUCAUAUUAGGUGCAGUUACUUUAUCGUAUUAGGUGCAAUUAACCUAACGCGUAUGUAGAUGUAGUAGGUACAUAUAUAUGUUUAAAUUUUAUCCUUCGCAUAAUUUGUUUCAUUUAAGUAUGCUUAACGUUUAUUAUCUGGAAAUUCGAUGUGUUUCCUAGUUUUAAUACUGCUGUUACUGUUGCGCCAUUAUUUAUUUAAAAACAAAAAAAAAAAAAGAAAACGAUCGAGGACAAGAAACCUUUAAAGAACUUCCCGAUUCAGUAGAUCGUUAACUGCUCCUUCCUCAAUUUGUAGGGAAUUACUUUACAAAAUUAUUGUCGAUAAUCUUCACCUACUUCAAACUGAGAAGUUCCCAAAUCCACGUUUGCCCUUUUUCCACAAGUCGAAAGUUCCCUUGUAAAUGAGGUAAAACCCAUUUUCGCCAUUUUCACCAAGAACUACAGUGACUACAAUGGAACUCCGUUUAUAUGAACGAAAUUUAAGUACUGACUUUAACUUUAGUUGAGCUCCUAUUCAUCUGAACUGUCGCCGAGUGUCAAUUCACUUAGAUUAACUGCAGACGAGCAACUUUUAUCCGCGCGAUGUCAGUGCGAUCGUGUGUUUUUCUUUGUUUCUCCAAUUCUUUCCACCAAAGACAACGAAGACAGAUAUACGAUCACAGCGACAUCGCGCCGAGAAAUCUUGCUCGUCUGCAUCGGGCCUCAUGUAAACGUCCACCAAUAAAGCUAGGUCUGCAUUAGCGACAAUUUGUCACUCUCAGUCGCAUCAAUCAAAAGUUCCAUUUCUUCUUCUUGUAAAAACGAAAAAGUUCUGCGGUCGUGUCGUCAAAUGCGCGCACGUCCGUAUAAACGAAUGCCCUUCUCGUAAGCGAAAAGACUAUCGCGUGACAAAUUGUCGCUAGUGCGCGCUUAACCUAAAGCUUAGACCACACUGGCAAAUGUUUAUCUGCAGACGUGUAUUUACAAUUUGCGUUUCAAAUCGGAGAGAAAAAUUCUGACAGACAAUAGUGGUAUUUUAUGGUAGAAAAUUUUUUCGUCGUUAUAAUAUUAAUUAUUUAUAUUUUUAUGAUAUCCGGCCCCGGAACAGUAUGUACGUAUGUAUUUAUUAUUUAAAAAUCAGGAUUUACAAAAUUUAGGGUACUCGUUUUCGUUGUCGAAAGGGACUUGCAAGGACCUGGUGAUGGUUAUAUUUGUACAAAGAUAGAUUUCGACAAUCUGUGUGUUCCAUUUCCAACAAAUUUCCAAUUGUAGAGCAGCCUACAUACAUUUUUUGAUAAUUAUCGGCGAACAAAGUAUGUAGACGAACUGUGUCAGUGUAUACACGCCUUUAGGAUAUAAAUGGCAGAGGCACGUGUUAUGUGACACACUUCCAUGUAUCGCAGUCGAUACAGAUUUGCAAUAUUAUUACGUAUUCGAGAGCGUACGUUUCAUGGAAUCCUCUUAUAUGAACAUUCCUAUUAACUGAACGAAAAAUCAUAGAUGGUAGGGAGAAAUGAUGGAUUCCUACCAUAUCAACGACCUGGUUAUAUAAACUAAUUUGUUCUCCGAUAGGUUCAUAUAAACAGAGUUCUACUGUAUCUGUUUUAACUCAGGUGUUUCGUCGCACACGCUUCAGGGUAUUAAAAAGGAACGAUAAAAGGGGAUAAAUAAAUAAACAGACAGGCAUUUAAACAAAAUAAUCCGUGAAUUUAUUAAAAAUAACACAGGAAAGAAUAAAGGAAAUGACAAACAACAAAUCAGGACAAUGAAGCCGCACUAACCGGUUAGGACGAUCAUCUAAUUAAUCAAUUAGUAAAUCUGCUAAUCGUAACUUAGCUAGUAGCGUAUCACAACCGCGGGCGCUCCUCUCGGUACCUAUUUCUUUUACAUUUUUAGCUUUCGAGAGAAGACCAUCGGUAUCGCCAUCACUUCAAUUUUAUUAUUUCUUCUCUUACGUAAAUCAACUCUUACGUCCCGUAUUCCACUUAUCCAUCAGCUUUUACAAUUUUCAUGCGGAUAAGUCCAAAAACGCUUGGUAUCGCCGUUUCGACGAUAGAAAUAAAAAAGAAACACGGAUGAAUACACAAGUUUGUUUGAAAGAUACAAUAUCUCGAUCUACUGCCACAUCUUGCAAAAUAUUCUCCGCAUAAUGUAAUUAUUAAAAUCACAUCGUUUCGUUGUACAGAUUAUCAUAGACUUAUGUGCACGAAAUAUUUUGCAACAUAGAUUGGCAGUUUAAUUCUAUCGUCGAUAGCCCGUAGAAUUUCUAGGUAACUGUUUACACUUUAAUUCACAGUAGCUUCAACAUAUACAAUAUCAAACUAAACUUGAUGGAAAUAUUCGACCAAUUGUCGGCAAAUAAAGCUUCUCAGUUCACCCAUAUGACGCAAAUAUUUCGACUCCAUACAGUUUCUCUGAAUAUCGCUACAAUUUUCGUUGUUCAAACCAAUUCUAUUUUUUUACGCAAUUUUAUAACUCCAGCUCUGGUAAAACUGCUAUCUGGCAGUCCAUCUUCGACGUUCUUGUCCUUCACGUAUCGUUCGUUUGCUGCAAACAAUGACAUAACCGAAAAAUCACAAUUUUAGAUUUGAAUGUCCUGAACUGCUAUAGUGUCGCGGUGAUGCAAUAGCGACACAGCUGCCCUCGCGCGGUGAAUGCUCCAAGUUCACUUGCACGACUCCACCAGCACAAAGUGUUUUUUCUGUACCAAUAACUCAAAAACUACAAAUACUGAACUAUGUCAUUGUUGCAGCGAAAGAACGAUAUGUUAUCAAGAAAUAAAAGAAUACAGUAGCAGUAAAAUGGAGAGGAGUCGAGCUAGCGUUUCUCAACCAACGAUUCAGAUGGAAAUUGAAUUUUACUGCAAGAAUUUCAAACACGAAAUUGGUUUCAUCGCGUGGCUGAGAAGCACCGGUAUAUGCAAUCAACUUAUACGGAUAUACAUACGAGUGAACAACCAUUUCCAGAAUGUCUACAUAUCCUUUACUUAAAUAAUAGUAUUCUUAUCGAUAAAGAUGAAUAGUAGUAGAUUUAGUUCUUCGAUAGUAAUCAAAUCGCAUUUCGUCAUUAAGAAAGAAACGUUCAAAGAUUUAGGGCAAAAGAGAAUUUUUUCACGAUCACUUAAUUAUUCGAGGGGAAUAAAUAAGUCAUCGACAAUAGUUUCUCAAUUUUUAAUCAAUUUCAUAUACCUGACAUUCGACAGAGUAAACGAUAAAAAAAAUUCAUAAAUUGUUCGUUCCCGGUUAACUAUAUCAUAUAUGUUCAUUUAUUUAUAAAUAAAUAAAAAGAAAAAAUUGUUUCUUUCAACGUUAUUUCCAUACUAGUGACUUGUCUCGAUCACGCAUUCGUAUGUUAUUUGCGAUUAAGUAUAUCAGAGAACUUGAAUUAAUAAUAAAGAAAUAAAUUAAUGAUUAAAGAAUAGGAUUUCAAAAUAUUUCCUUCGUAUAAAUAAACAAUGUUAUAGUUAAUAAAUAUUUAUUAUCUCUAUCUGUUUUAUCACACGGUAACUAUAUAGAAGUUUUUCUUUGGGGAAAUAAAUCAGUAUUUUAAGGAAUAUAUUUAUUAACGCAUCACUUAUACAUCGCGUUCGAUAAUCCGUAAUUAACCGAUACGAGGCGUAUUAAUUUAUCGAUUCGCUUCCGACGAAUUUAAUUUACUGCGGGAACUUUGUCACGGUUGUAUUUUACAAACGCUUUAUUUUCACGUUCGACAGAUUUAUUAAUUUUUAUUGCCAACGACGCUAUUCAGGAAGUUGUUAAGUCAUUCGGUUUUAGAAAUGUACACAACUAAUGGAUCCAGUUAAAAGUGAAAAUACACGAUGUGAAAGAGAAAUCGACGAAGUUUAAUAUAAACGCUCGAAGAGAAAAUAUACAUCUCUUUUCGCGGAUGUUUACGAGAAUCUUAGCUCUAUCGACAAACACCGUACGAACAAAAUUUAGAAUCCACCGAGUUUUCAAUUUCCGAGGUGAUGUCCAGUUAAUCAGCGCCACUUUCCACUCUAAUUAGGGAUGUAAGUUCAUUAAGAAAAAUGCUCGGUCAACAACGAACCCGCGGAUCACAUUCACCAAUUCGCUCGUUUACCGAAACCUCCCAUCGACGAUUUUUUUUUGUAAAUAACAAUUGGAGUCUAAAGGUAUAUAAAUAUUUUCAACUAUCGUGCACUUGUUUAUGGUAAAUCGUCGAUGAAAAUAUUCCUCUAAACGAUCACACGAGUUUUAAAUCACAACCCUUCUCAUCGUCCCUUUUCUCGUUAACUUCGAGAUAAAGUUCGUUUUUCUUCUCAUUCGAAACAUCCUCCGAUUAUUUUCAAUUACGAAUAUACCUUUAAUUAGAAUCAGAAUUAAUCAGUCAGAAUUAAUGUACGUAGCUUGUACGAUACGAUAGAAAUUUUUAAAAAAUUGCAAAAAGGCAAUAAGUAACACUCUUCUUUUUACGAACACAAUCACAGAAUUUUACAAUUCCCUCUAUCGCUAUCCACACCGUUAAAAUUCACGUUGAAACAUGUUUCGAUGCUUCGACGUCCACGUUUCACGAAAUCUGUUCAGUUUCAGUUCGCCUCUACGUUGUCGGUUCUUCUCAAUUUAUAACCUGAUGCCAAUGUUGCAACGCGUGUUUCGACGUGUCUGAUUAUUUUCCAACUCCAGUAUCAUCAUCGACAAUAGGAGGUCUGUUCGUUGUAAAAAGAUAGAAACUUAAAAAUCUAAAAAGAAACGCGCGAGAAGAUGGCCAAUUGAAAGAAACAGGUUUCCUAACCUCGCGUUGUUGAUGGAACUAAAAACGAACGAACCGAUCGAUUAUAGAAAUUAUUUGCGUAUGGAUCACCCUGUUUCUCAACAUCUACUGGACAAAGUUCAGCCAAAAAUACGAUGAUAACGAAUCUGCUGUAAAUUAAGUAAACUAAAUCGGCGAUGCCCUCUGCACGUUGAAACUUGUGUCCCAAUAAGGUUAUGGUCGCCAACUAAGAUUGGAUUAUUGUGUUGUUGGUUGGGUUCCUGUAUCGAUACAAGUUGCUUCUGAUGUCUAUCUGUCGAGGCUUAAUUACAUAAUUGUAACACGUGCCAUGAAACUUAAGACUCGAUGCAUGCAACAUGUUGCAAGUGUAUAUGGGCCUUUACGCUUAAGCCGAAUUUACACUGUUUCAGUUUGGAGGAACAUCGCGGAUGAACUUGUUUCCAUCAGUGGCUCAUUCGAGGAUGAAAGCAGCGUUCAUCGGCCGUGUUCCUCCAAAGUGAAACUGUGUAAAUUCCACUCCAGCCUUGAGGAAACAAGCUACAAAGCCGGCGGAACGUCGGAAUUCUUUCACUUCUGGACGAGGCUGUUUCUCAGAAGCUUCAAUCUGCGUUAAACGGAUCGGUGCUAAGUGUAACAGUGUGAAUAGCGACAACCCAGCUCGUGCAAACUUCAACACUCUCGAUCUUUCUAAUAUCCAUCUUAAAUCACAUGAAAAGGGGGGAAAAAAAAAAGAAAAAAUAAAAA
Long non-coding RNA from Bombus huntii, 5531 nucleotides. RefSeq lists it as uncharacterized. The transcript has 2 exons. The record is from RefSeq and is a predicted model, not a curated record. Lineage: Eukaryota; Metazoa; Arthropoda; Insecta; Hymenoptera; Apidae.